AAUGAACGCUGGCGGCGCGCCUAAUACAUGCAAGUCGAGCGAGAAGACGUAGCAAUACGUUUGUAAAGCGGCGAACGGGUGAGGAAUACAUGGGUAACCUACCCUAGAGUGGGGAAUAACUAGCCGAAAGGUUAGCUAAUACCGCGUACGCUCCUUGGACUUCGGUUCAGGGAGGAAAGCGAUGCCGAGGGUAUCGCGCUCUUGGAUGGGCUCAUGUCCUAUCAGCUUGNGGUGAGGUAACGGCUCACCAAGGCUUCGACGGGUAGCUGGUCUGAGAGGACGAUCAGCCACACUGGCACUGCGACACGGGCCAGACUCCUACGGGAGGCAGCAGUAAGGAAUAUUGCGCAAUGGGCGAAAGCCUGACGCAGCGGCGCCGCGUGGGGGAUGAAGGUCUUCGGAUUGUAAACCCCUUU
Molecule: ribosomal RNA, 416 nt
Filed under: uncultured bacterium
Lineage: Bacteria
Description: bacterial SSU rRNA
Rfam family: Bacterial small subunit ribosomal RNA
Source: RNAcentral